This 460-nucleotide ribosomal RNA is filed under the name uncultured bacterium. RNAcentral describes it as "partial 16S ribosomal RNA". It matches the Rfam family "Bacterial small subunit ribosomal RNA", at positions 338 to 795 of the family's 1533-position model. The record is from RNAcentral.
CCUACGGGCGGCAGCAGUGAGGAAUAUUGGUCAAUGGACGAGAGUCUGAACAAGCCAAGUAGCGUGAAGGAUGACUGCCCUAUGGGUUGUAAACUUCUUUUAUAUGGGAAUAAAACGUUCCACGUGUGGGAUUUUGUAUGUACCAUAUGAAUAAGGAUCGGCUAACUCCGUGCCAGCAGCCGCGGUAAUACGGAGGAUCCGAGCGUUAUCCGGAUUUAUUGGGUUUAAAGGGAGCGUAGGUGGAUUGUUAAGUCAGUUGUGAAAGUUUGCGGCUCAACCGUAAAAUUGCAGUUGAAACUGGCAGUCUUGAGUACAGUAGAGGUGGGCGGAAUUCGUGGUGUAGCGGUGAAAUGCUUAGAUAUCACGAAGAACUCCGAUUGCGAAGGCAGUUCACUGGACUGCAACUGACACUGAGGCUCGAAAGUGUGGGUAUCAAACAGGAUUAGAUACCCUAGUAGUC